GUAGGGAAUAUUGGACAAUGGGCGAAAGCCUGAUCCAGCCAUGCCGCGUGAUAGAUGAAGGCCCUCUGGGUUGUAAAUAUCUUUUAUCUGGGAAGAAACUCCUCUAUUCUUAGAGGCCUGACGGUACCAGAGGAAUAAGCACCGACUAACUCCGUGCCAGCAGCCGCGGUAAUACGGAGGGUGCAAGCGUUAUCCGGAUUCACUGGGUUUAAAGGGUGCGUAGGCGGGUUGAUAAGUCAGUGGUGAAAGCUCCGGGCUUAACUUGGAAACUGCCAUUGAUACUGUCAAUCUUGAAUGUCGUAGAGGUAAGCGGAAUGUUGCAUGUAGCGGUGAAAUGCUUAGAUAUGUUACAGAACACCAAUUGCGAAGGCAGCUUACUAUGCGAUAAUUGACGCUGAGGCACGAAAGCGUGGGGAGCAAACAGGAUUAGAUACCCCGGUAGUCC
This 445-nucleotide ribosomal RNA is filed under the name uncultured bacterium. Its description in RNAcentral is "bacterial SSU rRNA". It matches the Rfam family "Bacterial small subunit ribosomal RNA", at positions 354 to 796 of the family's 1533-position model. The record is from RNAcentral.